GCGGGAUUCGAUUCGGCAAUGGACCAAACUCCUACGGGAGGCAGCAGUAGGGAAUUUUCGGCAAUGGAGGAAACUCUGGCCGAGCAACGCCGCGUGAACGAUGAAGUACCUCGGUAUGUAAAGUUCUUUUAUUAAGGAAGAAAAAAGAGUGGAAAAACUCCCUUGACGGUACUUAAUGAAUAAGCCCCGGCUAAUUAUGUGCCAGCAGCCGCGGUAAUACAUAAAGGGCGAGCGUUAUCCGGAAUUAUUGGGCGUAAAGGGUGCGUAGGCGGUUUAAUAAGUCUAUAGUUUAAUUUCAGCGCUUAACGCUGUUGUGCUAUAGAAACUGUUUUACUAGAGUGAGUUAGAGGCAAGCGGAAUUCCAUGUGUAGCGGUAAAAUGCGUAAAUAUAUGGAGGAACUCCAGAGGCGUAGGCGGCUUGCUGGGACUUUACUGACGCUGAGGCACGAAAGCGUGGGGAGCAAACAGGAUUAGAUACCCUGGUAGUCCACGCCGUAAACGAUGAGUACUAAGUGUCGGGUAAAACCGGUACUGAAGUUAACACAUUAAGUACUCCGCCUGAGUAGUACGUACGCAAGUAUGAAACUUAAAGGAAUUGACGGGAUUCCGCACAAGCGGUGGAUCAUGUUGUUUAAUUCGAAGAUACACGAAAAACCUUACCAGGUCUUGACAUUUUCUUGCGAAGUUAUAGAAAUAUAAUGGAGGUUAUCAGGAAAACAGGUGGUGCAUGGUUGUCGUCAGCUCGUGUCGUGAGAUGUUAGGUUAAGUCCUAAAACGAGCGCAACCCUUGUCGAUAAUUGCCAGCAUGUAAUGAUGGGGACUUUAACGAGUCUACCAAUGAAAAAUUGGAGGAAGGUGGGGAUUACGUCAAAUCAUCAUGCCCUUUAUGAUCUGGGCUACAAACGUGAUACAAUGGUUGUUACAAAGACGUAUGCUGAAAA
Molecule: ribosomal RNA, 941 nt
Filed under: Coffee crispiness phytoplasma
Lineage: Bacteria; Bacillati; Mycoplasmatota; Mollicutes; Acholeplasmatales; Acholeplasmataceae
Description: bacterial SSU rRNA
Rfam family: Bacterial small subunit ribosomal RNA
Source: RNAcentral